GAGACCCAUUUCCACUGUUGCUAACACGCCCGUGAGGGUGGUGAGUACACUGUGGAGACCGCUGGCGCUAAGUCAGAGGAAGGAUUGGUCGACGGUAGGUCAGUAUGCCCCGAAUCCCCCGGGCCACACGCGGGCUGCAAUGGUUGGGACAAUGGGUUCCGACCCCGAGAGGGGAAGGUAAUCCCGAAACCCAAUCUCAGUUGGGAUCGAGGGCUGCAACUCGCCCUCGUGAACAUGGAAUCCCUAGUAAUCGCGCAUCAUCAUUGCGCGGUGAAUACU
Molecule: ribosomal RNA, 279 nt
Filed under: uncultured archaeon
Lineage: Archaea
Description: partial 16S rRNA
Rfam family: Archaeal small subunit ribosomal RNA
Source: RNAcentral